GGCUCCAUAGUGUAGUGGUUAGCACUUCUGCUUUACAUGAAGAAGGUCCUGGGUUCACGCUCCAGGUGGAGCCA
Molecule: transfer RNA, 74 nt
Filed under: Pteropus alecto (black flying fox)
Lineage: Eukaryota; Metazoa; Chordata; Mammalia; Chiroptera; Pteropodidae
Rfam family: tRNA
About the family: Transfer RNA (tRNA) molecules are approximately 80 nucleotides in length. Their secondary structure includes four short double-helical elements and three loops (D, anti-codon, and T loops). Further hydrogen bonds mediate the characteristic L-shaped molecular structure. tRNAs have two regions of fundamental functional importance: the anti-codon, which is responsible for specific mRNA codon recognition, and the 3' end, to which the tRNAs corresponding amino acid is attached (by aminoacyl-tRNA synthetases). tRNAs cope with the degeneracy of the genetic code in two manners: having more than one tRNA (with a specific anti-codon) for a particular amino acid; and 'wobble' base-pairing, i.e. permitting non-standard base-pairing at the 3rd anti-codon position.
Source: Rfam by way of RNAcentral